AUUGUUGUUAGUUGUAUUUAAUAUGUUUGAGUUAACUUAUAUUUUCUUUUGUUUUCAUUUUUGAAAAUGGUACAUGUCAGGGGUGGAGCUAUCCAGUUCCUGG
Long non-coding RNA from Ipomoea nil (Japanese morning glory), 103 nucleotides. RefSeq lists it as uncharacterized. The transcript is spliced from 3 exons. The record is from RefSeq and is a predicted model, not a curated record. Lineage: Eukaryota; Viridiplantae; Streptophyta; Magnoliopsida; Solanales; Convolvulaceae.